GCGAAGCGAGAGAACGUUGCGUCAGCAACGGCCCGCAGGGCGAGCCACGCAGUGGCGAGUCAUCCUCUAUCACCGACCA
Molecule: small RNA, 79 nt
Filed under: Salmonella enterica subsp. enterica serovar Infantis
Lineage: Bacteria; Pseudomonadati; Pseudomonadota; Gammaproteobacteria; Enterobacterales; Enterobacteriaceae
Also listed under: 6 other names
Description: partial RtT sRNA
Rfam family: RtT RNA
About the family: This family represents a bacterial cis-regulatory element known as RtT RNA. The exact function of RtT is unknown although it is thought that it may be involved in changing the cellular response in relation to amino acid starvation.
Source: RNAcentral